GUCUAAGGCCAGACCACCCUGAACAUGCCUGAUCUUAGGAACUAAGCUGGGUUGGGUCCAGUUAAUACCUGGCUUAGGGAAACCAGCUGGUAUCAGGAG
Ribosomal RNA from Cricetulus griseus (Chinese hamster), 99 nucleotides. Lineage: Eukaryota; Metazoa; Chordata; Mammalia; Rodentia; Cricetidae. The record is from Ensembl.